Molecule: ribosomal RNA, 252 nt
Filed under: uncultured bacterium
Lineage: Bacteria
Description: partial 16S ribosomal RNA
Rfam family: Bacterial small subunit ribosomal RNA
Source: RNAcentral
UACGUAGGGACCAAGCGUUGUUCGGAUUUACUGGGCGUAAAGAGCGCGUAGGCGGCAAUUCAAGUCAGCUGUGAAAUCUCCGGGCUUAACUCGGAACGGUCAAGUGAUACUGUCGGACUAGAGUACAGAAGGGGCAACUGGAAUUCUCGGUGUAGCGGUGAAAUGCGUAGAUAUCGAGAGGAACACCUGCGGCGAAGCGGGUUGCUGGGCUGAUACUGACGCUGAGGCGCGAAAGCCAGGGGAGCGAACGGG